GCAACACUGGUGAUGUUGUUUGUUGCUGCCGUUAAUCGUAUUUUGGCGGCGUGGGCGGUGAGGGAUUCUUCGUUGUUGCUGCCAUGUAUUGACAAAAAAUAAACAAUUAAGGUCGCUGUCGAGCAUGACGGGCGCCGAGAUGGCAGAGGAUCAAAGACGGCGGCACAAAGCACGAGAUCACGGGUUUUCGUUUGAGUUGUUUGUUGCUGAUGCGGCUGCUGUGGAAAAUUAUGAAGACGACGCUAUUAUUCACUGUUGGCGUUGGUGGGCGUCGAUGGCGAUUUCAGUGACGCUGGCAAUAAUGGGGAACUCAGCCACAAGGGGAUCCUAAAAAAUCGGAUAGAGUACGGGAGCGUUGCAAAGAAGACCAAGGGAAGGAAGCCAAUAUGUGGGAGAGAUGGGCCGCGUGAGGCGUAGAGAAGGUCAGUCAAACCUGAAGGGAAGCAACUUUAAUUGACUUGGAAGGGAUUUCCAGAAAUAAAAAGUCGUAGCGUGCAUGCGCAGUGCAAAAAUUUAGUCUGAGCUUAAGCUCAGAUUUUAUACAUGAUGCCCAAUGUCUAACAGGGAAUUAACGGACUUAAUGUCACAGAAAUUUACGAAGAAGAAGUAAUCAGAACCACGCUGGAAUUCAGUGGCAGUGGUGUUGUAAACUUGGCUUGAGUGCACCAGUUUCUUCGAAACCAGAAUCGGAUUAAAUGAAAACACUUCACAAAAUCUUUAACCGAUGUCCAGCUUUAUGGCAGGAGUGCCAACUGCCAAUGCACCGGAAGAAUAGGUACUAACUAGCCUUCCCACGCUACCACAUGUAGCUGCGGGAGUCUACUCAGAGAAACUCAGUGUCUCGGCCUCCAAAACUGGGUAAAGGUUCAAGGAUCUUCUUGGCGGAAGUUCUAGCAAUAUCGAAGGCAUUGACAGAGUUCAUGAAUUAGUAAAACCUGGAGCCUAUUUGGGGAACUCUGACCUGAUUAGAUCAAGGACAGAAAAAUUCAGAAAGCGGCAACAACAGGCCUUCUCUAUAAUAAAAUUUAGCGAGGUUGUUAAC
Long non-coding RNA from Rhagoletis pomonella (apple maggot), 1042 nucleotides. RefSeq lists it as uncharacterized. The transcript is spliced from 4 exons. The record is from RefSeq and is a predicted model, not a curated record. NCBI's taxonomy places the organism in Eukaryota, Metazoa, Arthropoda, Insecta, Diptera, Tephritidae.